Non-coding RNA from Phrynosoma platyrhinos (Desert horned lizard), 72 nucleotides. NCBI's taxonomy places the organism in Eukaryota, Metazoa, Chordata, Lepidosauria, Squamata, Phrynosomatidae. The record is from the annotation of a GenBank genome assembly.
GCCAGUAUAGCACACUGGUUUGAGCACUGGACUAUGACUCUGGAGACCAGGGUUUGAUUCCCAGCUUGGCCA